CCUACGGGAGACAGCAGUGAGGAAUAUUGGUCAAUGGUCGGGAGACUGAACCAGCCAAGCCGCGUGAGGGAUGAAGGUACAGAGUAUCGUAAACCUCUUUUGUCAGGGAACAAAGGCGGGGACGUGUCCCCGGAUGAGUGUACCUGAAGAAAAAGCAUCGGCUAACUACGUGCCAGCAGCCGCGGUAAUACGUAGGGGGCAAGCGUUAUCCGGAUUUACUGGGUGUAAAGGGAGUGUAGACGGCGAUGCAAGUCUGAAGUGAAAGGCGGGGGCCCAACCCCCGGACUGCUUUGGAAACUGUGGAGCUUGAGUGCGGGAGAGGUAAGUGGAAUUCCUAGUGUAGCGGUGAAAUGCGUAGAUAUUAGGAGGAACACCAGUGGCGAAGGCGGCUUACUGGACUGUAACUGACGUUGAGGCUCGAAAGCGUGGGGAGCAAACAGGAUUAGAUACCCCAGUAGUC
This 460-nucleotide ribosomal RNA is filed under the name uncultured bacterium. Its description in RNAcentral is "partial 16S ribosomal RNA". It matches the Rfam family "Bacterial small subunit ribosomal RNA", at positions 338 to 795 of the family's 1533-position model. The record is from RNAcentral.